UGGGGAAUAAAAGACUGAUGCAAGCAAGAAAAAACCAGACCAAUGCUUAGUUGGACAAAGAAAGAAGCAGUGUCCAUUCCAAUAAAUGGGAAAUUCAGCAUGGAGAGCAGCACAGCAUUUUUACUUUCUGCCCCAGGUGAAAAUUUGGUUCACUCCUGCUGAUGAGCAUUGUUAGUCAAGCACUGAAAUACAGAGAAGUUAGUGAAAGUGAAAAAAGUUAGACCGAGUGAUUGCCAGUUUAGACAUAACAGCCAAUUUCUAAAGUGAAAGUUUCACAGUUUGUAUUGCAACAACAGAGAUAAAGAAGAAGAAGAAUUUGUUUUGUCAAUUGGGUUCUAAAGUAAUUGAACCAGCAUGUGUGGAAGUUUGACGAAAAAGGGAAUUAUUUAAAGCUCUACAUUCGACUGUGGUAAACAAUAGUGUAAUGAAUUUUUGUACAUAUGUUGA
Molecule: long non-coding RNA, 447 nt
Filed under: Limulus polyphemus (Atlantic horseshoe crab)
Lineage: Eukaryota; Metazoa; Arthropoda; Merostomata; Xiphosura; Limulidae
Description: uncharacterized LOC111087637, transcript variant X1
Source: RNAcentral